Molecule: unclassified non-coding RNA, 690 nt
Filed under: Hevea brasiliensis (rubber tree)
Lineage: Eukaryota; Viridiplantae; Streptophyta; Magnoliopsida; Malpighiales; Euphorbiaceae
Source: RNAcentral
UACCUGCAACUAACAACUUAAGGAUUUCCUUCUUAACCACCUCUUUCAUGUUUGGAUUUGAUCUCCUUUGAAGUUCAAUGGUGAUUUGCAGUUAUUUUAUAAAAUGAUCCUAUGCAUACAAAAAUUAGGGCUAAUUCCCUUGAUGUCAUCAAUUGUAUAACCUAACAAUUUACUAUAUUGUCUCAAAAUCCUAAAUAACUUUUCAACCUCUAAAUCACUCAAGCUUGCAUUAACAAUAACUAGAUAUGUUUCAUUAGGACCAAGGAAUGCGUACCUGAGUUAAGAAGGAAGUUGUUUAAGUUUUACCUUUGGUGUAUCUUCCUUUUUAAAGGAUGGUUGUUUGACUUUACAUCUUUCCACUUGUUUAAUUUGAAAAAUUGGUGCUGUAGGAUGAGGUAGACUGCUUUCCAAAUGUUAAGCAAAUGCAUCCACUUAUGGAUUGUCAUCAUCAAUAUUUCCUCCAUGAGCAAGACAAUUUUCAAGGGGAUCUUUAGGAUAUCUCUUCCUAAAAUGCUCCUACACAUGCUCAUCAAUUAUGUCAACUCUUAAGCAAGAGUCUACAUCAUGGUGAUGUUUCUUUGUGGCAUUAUCAAUGUUGAAGACUAGUUUAUCCUCUCUAAUUCUAAGAGUGAGUUUUUCACCUUUGACAUCAAUUAAUGCUUCUGUUGUAGCUAGGAAAGGCCUCCCCAA